RNAcentral lists this ribosomal RNA (433 nucleotides) under uncultured bacterium. RNAcentral describes it as "partial 16S ribosomal RNA". It matches the Rfam family "Bacterial small subunit ribosomal RNA", at positions 29 to 507 of the family's 1533-position model. The record is from RNAcentral.
AACGAACGCUGGCGGCAUGCCUAACACAUGCAAGUCGAACGAGACCUUCGGGUCUAGUGUCGCACGGGUGCGUAACGCGUGGGAACCUUCCCUUAGGUUCGGAAUAACUCCCCGAAAGGGGUGCUAAUACCGGAUAAUGUCUUCGGACCAAAGAUUUAUCGCCUUUGGAUGGUCCCGCGUUGGAUUAGCUAGUUGGUAGGGUAAAAGCCUACCAAGGCGACGAUCCAUAGCUGGUCUGAGAGGAUGAUCAGCCACACUGGGACUGAGACACGGCCCAGACUCCUACGGGAGGCAGCAGUGGGGAAUAUUGGAAAAUGGGCGAAAGCAUGAUCCAGCAAUGCCGCGUGAGUGAUGAAGGCCUUAGGGUUGUAAAGCUCUUUUACCCGGGAUGAUAAUGACAGUACCGGGAGAAUAAGCUCCGGCUAACUCCGUG